GCUUGUUAAACAAUGAACAUACCAGCCCCUCCUCUGACCCAUCCUCUUUCCAUCCGUUCCAGAAAGAAAGAAGCAAAGAAAUUGCUCUAUUAUAUUCUCCGUUUCAAGGCAAACCAAUUGAAGGCAAGUAAGAAAAGAAAGGUUCUAGUUGAGAAAAUAGUAAAGCACCAUGCUAAAGGUAAAAAUAUUCUUAACCUUUAAAGUCAAAGAAAUUGGUUUAUUUCUAAUUUCUUGUAAUUGCAUGUUUGGAUUGUGGGAGUAUGUUUGAUUGAGAAUCAAAUGGAUUAAGGAGUUAUAAUGAUGGAUUAGUAUGGAGAUCGGAUGUUAACAUGUUAAAAGUAACAUGAAUUUGAAUUUUAAAACUUUGCGCACCACUUGUUUGAUAAAAUGCAAUGAUGAGAUUAGUUAAUGAAAUGAUUGAGAAAGGAUUCCCAACUACAACAUAUAUCUUUAACAUACUUAUAUGUACCUGUGGAAAGGCAGGCUUAGCUAGGAAAGUUGUAGAGAGAUUUAUUAAGUUGAAGACAUUUUAUUAUAGACCAUUCAAGCAUUCCUUUAAUGCAAUGAUAUACUCCCUUCUUACUGUAAAAUAAUAUAAGUUGGUUGUGUGGUGAUAUAAGGAAGCUAAAAUGGACUAUUAUGGACUGUUUUGGAACUUUUGUGGUUUCGAUUCAUGUCUGAAAUUUAAGUUCUGUAGUAUUAUGUUAUACUCCUAUGAGUUAUGAAAAUAACCCAAUUGGAACGAAGUAAAAACGAGCUCAAACGAAUUUAUAGUGAAUGUUUUGGUAAAACAUGUUAAAAAACUAAGAAAAACUGGAUGAACAGUGACUAUAGUGUCAAAUUCUGGAAUAGUUAUGUUGCCUGAAAAAUUCUGAGUUUAUGGGUAGUUGUAGUGCACUGAGUUAGGAUGCCAUAGGCUUUGGAAUGACCUCAUUCCGACCUCGGAUGAGGGAGUUAUGGUGAUUGGAAGGAAAUGCGUCGAAUUUGUCAAACUGGAAGUCAGCAUCAGGACGUGCUAUUCGGGACACAGUUUCGAUCAGUUAAUAUUUCCAGAAAAUUCUGUGCUUUUGGUAUGUUAUAGUACACUGAAUAAGCUUUCCAUAGACUCUGGAACGGACUAAUUCCAACUUCGGAACAAAACGUUAUGACCGUUCAAAGUAGUCGCGUCAAAACUGUCUAACCAACUCGGGUCAGUCCCUUUACACGGAAUUUGGGAAAAGGUCAAAGAAUAAAAGUUGUAGGUCCGGAAGUUAGCUUCGCGUGGACUUAAGAAUCGCUCAAAAAUGUUUUGAAAUGAAAAAGUUAUGACUGUUUUAGCGAGAGAGGGUACAGCUGGAAAGAAAUCGAAAACUGUUAUGAACAUACACUUUUGACGCUCUGUUUGGGCUGUCUAACAAACCCGGAAUGGGGGUUUGAUAUUUUUUAAAAAUAUUCUCGUAUGAUACGAAAAACAUACCAAAAAUUGGUUGAUAUCCGAGCUACAAACAAGAAGUUAAAAAUGCGCAUAUUAUGCUUCAAGCAACUGAGUAGCAGCAGGGCAUUGCCCAGCCACGCGCGGUCGCGCGAGCAUGCCGCGCCGUGCUGCGCUGGUACAGUCGCCUGGCAAGCUUUUCACGUGCUGUUUUGGUCGAUCUUAGUCGCUUGUUUUCAUGGUUAUAAAAUUUCUAUAAAUACUUUGAUAUAUCGACUAAAACAUAUCCAAAACUUACAGCAAGUUGAUUAGAGGUUUAAGAAAUAAAAAUUAGCAGAGGAGAGUGUCAAGCCAUGGGCUGCCCAGCCCAGGCGGCCAACGCCGAGCCUGGCAGCCUUGGGGCUACUCAGCUUAUCGUGUUUCUGCGACGUGUUUGGUUGGUUUUAGAGUUAUUUGGCACAUAAUGAAACACCAGUAUAGUAGUAUAAAUAUAGUAUAAAGACUAUAUAUGCCGCAAACUUAUUCGUGCACAAGAAAAGCGAUAAAAGUAAUAUGUAAACAUGAAAUUACAUAUAUGUGAUCAACCUGAAUUGAGAAAUGAAAUAUAAAAAGGUUAUGUAUUAAAAUAAAAUACGCUAACCCAUUUAAACUAUAUUGAACAUCGGAAUUUGAAAGCGAAAGGUUUUAGAAAUUCGAAACGAAGACUAUGAACACAUAAUCACAUAAUGACAUGUAUGAAAAUAAAAUACAUGUGAAGCACGAAUGUAAUUUAUUCACGAGAAUAAAUGUUAAGCGAAGCUACUAACAAAGCAAGACAUUCACGUACAUGGUGAUAGCAUGGUUUAGCACAUGGUCUAUUGCGAAAACAUAAAAAAUUUCGAAAACUUAAUAAUAAUGAUAUGAGCUAUGUUUACAUGAUAAAAACCAUCCAUAACCAUAUAGUCUUAAGUUUACAGAUGGAGACAAGGAAUAUUCUUAAAAUGGAUUAUAGAUGGUUUAUGCUCUUAAACGUAAAGUAUUUAUAUACUAAAACCAUGAGAGAACCUUUUUGUGCAUAAAAAGGGUUAUAACAGACAAAAGUUUCUAAAGAAACGUGGAACGGUUUAAGACAAGAACAAAAAGAUUAUACUUAAUGUAAAAUAAAAAUUAGUUUACAUUAAGUAUGUGAAUUUAGUAUGUGAAACUAAUGUGUGUAUGAAUAUAUACUCAAUUUGUGUAGGAUCAUCACCGAGCAGAUAAGUUAUAACAUUAAACAGAACUAAAGGCAAGUUUCUCAGUUUAUUUAUGUGGUCUUAUAAUUGUUAUAGAUAACUGUUAGCAUGAUUUAUGUUUAUAAGGAUGUAAUACCUAUAAAAUACAUUAUUUGCUUUGUGAAUGAUGAAUGUUAAAUUAUGACUAAUUAUUGAAUUGAGUCGGGAAACUCAAUAUAUAUGUGCAAUAAAUGACAUGUACAUGACACGUGUAGCAUGCUAUGACGUGUAUGUUGCUACCAGCGGGACAUAAAUAUGAUAAUGCAUUUGUAAUAUGCUUGAACACCAAGAAUAUAAAUGCAUGAACUGAAUGUGAAACCUAUGUACUACGUGAUGCAUGAUAGACUGUUAGACUUGUUGGGUCGUUGUGCUCAAUCUUGCUUAAUUUGCAGGUUAAAGCUAUGAUGCGAUCUAUCGUGAUUAGAAGCGCAUAAAAAGAAAACUAGUGAUUUAAUUGAGAUUGUGUUGAAUCAUUUGAUGGUAUUUUCAUGUGUAAAUCACAAAUGUGUAAAAUUUUGAAUUAUUCGAUAGAUGAAGAUUN
Molecule: long non-coding RNA, 3202 nt
Filed under: Panax ginseng (ginseng)
Lineage: Eukaryota; Viridiplantae; Streptophyta; Magnoliopsida; Apiales; Araliaceae
Description: long non-coding RNA (PGIN_LNC005694)
Source: RNAcentral